ACGAACGCUGGCGGCAUGCCUAACACAUGCAAGUCGAACGAUGCCUUCGGGCAUAGUGGCGCACGGGUGCGUAACGCGUGGGAAUCUGCCUUUCGGUUCGGAAUAACUCAGGGAAACUUGAGCUAAUACCGGAUAACGUCGCAAGACCAAAGAUUUAUCACCGAAAGAUGAGCCCGCGUAGGAUUAGCUAGUUGGUGAGGUAAAGGCUCACCAAGGCGACGAUCCUUAGCUGGUCUGAGAGGAUGAUCAGCCACACUGGGACUGAGACACGGCCCAGACUCCUACGGGAGGCAGCAGUGGGGAAUAUUGGACAAUGGGCGAAAGCCUGAUCCAGCAAUGCCGCGUGAGUGAUGAAGGCCUUAGGGUUGUAAAGCUCUUUUACCCGGGAAGAUAAUGACGGUACCGGGAGAAUAAGCCCCGGCUAACUCCGUG
This 432-nucleotide ribosomal RNA is filed under the name uncultured bacterium. RNAcentral's name for it is "partial 16S ribosomal RNA". It matches the Rfam family "Bacterial small subunit ribosomal RNA", at positions 29 to 507 of the family's 1533-position model. The record is from RNAcentral.